RNAcentral lists this ribosomal RNA (494 nucleotides) under uncultured bacterium. Its description in RNAcentral is "partial 16S ribosomal RNA". It matches the Rfam family "Bacterial small subunit ribosomal RNA", at positions 28 to 507 of the family's 1533-position model. The record is from RNAcentral.
GACGAACGCUGGCGGCGCGCUUAACACAUGCAAGUCGAACGGAAAGGCCUGCUUUCCCUUGUGGAUUGCGGGUACUCGAGUGGCGAACGGGUGAGUAACACGUGAGUGAUCUGCCCCCAACUUGGGUAUAAGCCUGGGAAACUGGGUCUAAUUCCCGAUAGGACUGCAGGGUGGUGCCUGUGGUGGAAAACGAUCUUCUAGUGGUUGGGGAUGCGCUCGCGGCCUAUCAGGUUGUUGGUGGGGUAAUGGCCUACCACGGCGGGGACGGGUCGCCGGCCUGGGAGGGGCGACGGCGACAGUGGGACUGAGUCACGGCCCAGACUCCUACGGGAGGCAGGAGUGGGGAAGAUUACACAAUGAGCGGAAGCCUGAUGCAGCGACGCCGCGUGGGGGAUGACGGCCUUCUGGUUGUAAGCUCCUUGCGACCGCGAGGAAGCCACCUGGUUGGAAGGGUGGUGACGGUAGUGGUAGAAGAAGCACCGGCUAACUACGUG